GGAAGUGGUCGGAAGGCUGCUAUGUGUAAGAUUUGAGCGGCCACAAAUCGGGAAAAGGUCGCCGGAGGCUGACAAAGCUCCGGCGAGGGUCGUCGGAGACUGGGUUAAGCUCGAAAUGGCAGAAAGUCACUGAGUACUGGACAAAGAAGUUCGAACAGCCUUGAGAAAGGUAAAAAACUCACAGAUCGAGUUUAUAAUCACUUGGAAACUUCAAAAAAUGGACUGGAUAAUGUCGCCGGAGGUCGGAAAACGAGCGGCGAUGGUCGGCAUGUCCAGGAGAAAGUUGCUGGAGGUCAGGUUGCAAUUGGGUCUUUCAAAUAACAAGAGUGAGACAGCUGUCGGCCAAUUUCUUCAACUGGAUCUUCAUAAAAGGCGUCAAAAAGAUCAGUCACAAGACAGACGGAAGGCGCCUGGUGAUUGACAAAAGAUCAGCAAGGAGAGGUCGCCUAGAUCGACUUGCUUUGAUACCAUGUGAACUUUGGGGAGAAAGGAGAACCACCAAAAUUAGGUUCAGAGCUAGGAAAUGGCAAAAGGCACCAGGGGACGACGCAAGAUUUCCUCACGACAGUGCAGGCCAACCCCAUAUCCGUUGGCAUCAUAUAAUCAGGUUAUAUCAGAUGACAUGAACCCUAAGAAGUGCUCCAAAAUCUUGGUAGAGAAAGAUUGGGUAGACGCUACCUGUUCUGUAUGCAUGGAGUGCCCCCACAAUGCCGUUCUCCUCUUAUGCUCUUCUCACGACAAGGGUUGCCGUCCCUACAUGUGCGGCACUAGCGUUCGCUACUCCAACUGCCUAGAUCAGUACAAGAAAGCCUACACCAAAGUCACAUCGCCCCUUCAACUCCAACCCUUGUCCCAAGGCCCGGAUGAUGAUCUGAAUGCUGGCCCCUUUUCUAGUUGGCCCAUCAAGAAGUGCGAAGUAACAGUGCUUGCAUGUCCUCUUUGCAGAGGCCAGGUGAAGGGGUGGACUGUGGUGGAGCCUGCUCGGGAGUAUUUGAAUGCAAAGAACCGGAGCUGCACACAGGAUAACUGCUCGUUUGCAGGAACUUACAAGGAGUUGAGGAAGCACGUGAGGGCGGAUCACCCAUGUGCUCGCCCGCGGGAAGUGGACCCUGCUCUUGAACAAAAAUGGAGAAGGCUCGAGCACGAGCGAGAGCGGGAUGACGUGAUUAGUACGAUAAGCUCAUCGAUGCCUGGGGCGGUGGUGUUUGGUGAUUAUGUGUUGGAAGGAAGUGAUUAUGAGUUUGAUACGGAUGAAGAGGAGGAUGGUUUUGAUGUCGGUGUUUCUGAUGGGAAUGAGGAUUUCCAAGUGGGAAUUGAUAGGAAUUUGGUUAAUGUGUUCCUUCUAUUGCACGCAUUUGGACCGGGUGGACAUGUUGGCCAGAAUAGGGGAAUGAGACAGCAUGAGAGGGAAUCGGACCGAAAUUCAGAUGGAGGUGGUGGUGGUGGUUUUCGUCAGGCAUCUUCUGUCGUCAUUUAUGAUUCAUCUGAUCGAGAAAGUGAUGAUGAUGAUGGCGGCGGUGGUGGUGGUUUAUCACUUGUUCAUCGGCUGCGCCGACAGGGCAGAAUUCUGUUGGGACGGUCUGGGAGGAGACGAGGGCGUAGAGAAGCCGGUGGGGGCCAGAGAGAGAGAUAGAUGGUGGUGGAGAAAGGAUGGUAUUGGGAGAAGAUUCUUGGGGUGUCGAUGUUUAGGAGUAGAGACAACAAGGAAAAAGGGUUAGUUCCCUUUGAAUUAUGCAAAGUGCAUUUAUUUCUUCUUGAAUCUGUAUCAAUGGAUGUGCAAUGAAGGUGGAAAAAGCUGUUUUUCCCGUUGUAAUUUAAACUUGUCAUUUCGUUGUUCCAUUAUCCUUUACCUUGCAUCCCUGAAAAUCCAACCAUGUGAAUUUCUCCUUUGUAAGCAAGUGUUCAAUUUCAAUGUAUUUCUUUUGCAAUAUUUAAUUCA
This is an RNA transcript of Rhododendron vialii, 1939 nucleotides long. RefSeq lists it as uncharacterized. The record is from RefSeq and is a predicted model, not a curated record. Lineage: Eukaryota; Viridiplantae; Streptophyta; Magnoliopsida; Ericales; Ericaceae. The transcript is spliced from 3 exons.